Molecule: transfer RNA, 74 nt
Filed under: Phycisphaerae bacterium
Lineage: Bacteria; Pseudomonadati; Planctomycetota; Phycisphaerae
Description: tRNA-Cys
Rfam family: tRNA
About the family: Transfer RNA (tRNA) molecules are approximately 80 nucleotides in length. Their secondary structure includes four short double-helical elements and three loops (D, anti-codon, and T loops).
Source: RNAcentral
GGCGGCGUACCCAAGUGGUCUAAGGGAACGGUUUGCAAAACCGUCAUGCGCGGGUUCGAAUCCCGCCGCCGCCU